RNAcentral lists this transfer RNA (73 nucleotides) under Mobiluncus curtisii. Its description in RNAcentral is "tRNA-Gly". It matches the Rfam family "tRNA". Rfam says of the family: Transfer RNA (tRNA) molecules are approximately 80 nucleotides in length. Their secondary structure includes four short double-helical elements and three loops (D, anti-codon, and T loops). Further hydrogen bonds mediate the characteristic L-shaped molecular structure. tRNAs have two regions of fundamental functional importance: the anti-codon, which is responsible for specific mRNA codon recognition, and the 3' end, to which the tRNAs corresponding amino acid is attached (by aminoacyl-tRNA synthetases). tRNAs cope with the degeneracy of the genetic code in two manners: having more than one tRNA (with a specific anti-codon) for a particular amino acid; and 'wobble' base-pairing, i.e. permitting non-standard base-pairing at the 3rd anti-codon position. RNAcentral also lists the same sequence under 10 other names. Lineage: Bacteria; Bacillati; Actinomycetota; Actinomycetes; Actinomycetales; Actinomycetaceae. The record is from RNAcentral.
GCGGAUGUAGCUCAGUUGGUAGAGCAUCACCUUGCCAAGGUGAGGGUCGCGGGUUCGAGUCCCGUCAUCCGCU